CAUGUACGUAUCGAUACGAAAAACAACGUUCCCGCACAAUAGCAAGUUAUCGUGGGAUAUCACACCUCUGGAUUUUUUUCUUUGGGGUGUUUACCAGAGAGCAGCUUUGAGUAUGAUCGAGCCUUUUUGAUCACCCUCACUAAAAAUCGAGCACAAGCGAACGCCACACUCGGCUACUAUGUGUUCGAUCGAGAUGCACACCCAACAGCUGCUUUGAGUACGAACGAGUCUGUUCGAUCACCCUCGCUAUAAAUUGAGCACAAACGAACACCACACUCGGACACCCGCAACUAACCCGAAAAUUUGUGUAACAAUGAAGCGGACACCCGAACAUUGCGAUAAAAUGCAGAACAACAAUGAAAUUUACGCUGAAGAUAACUGGGGCCAAUAUGUUCCAACAAAGCAUACGAAAAUGUUGUUGCUUUGUGCUUGUGCAUACGCAAUGAAAAAAAUUAGAAGCGAAGUAGACAAAAAUGUUUGUGCAUCUGCCCCGUAGCGAAUGUCAUGCAUUAGUCACCUAAGAGUCUUGUACGGAAAAGUUACGUCUUAAAUGACGUUGGACUCCGUUUGUAUGGAAGUCGUUCAUGACUUUUUCAUAUAAAUGGUAAUUUCGUCGUUGAUGUCACCUGCAUGACUUGGUUAUGCAGUGAUCAUUAAUGACAUUCAAGCGACAGCAUCUUGCAAUGGAAUUUUUAUAAGUGACCGCUGCAAGACAUUGUCUCUUAUAAGUCUUUGAUAGGAGUACACCUG
Molecule: long non-coding RNA, 750 nt
Organism: Rhagoletis pomonella (apple maggot)
Lineage: Eukaryota; Metazoa; Arthropoda; Insecta; Diptera; Tephritidae
Exons: 3
Source: RefSeq, a predicted model, not a curated record